This is a long non-coding RNA of Physeter macrocephalus (sperm whale), 152 nucleotides long. RefSeq lists it as uncharacterized. The record is from RefSeq and is a predicted model, not a curated record. The transcript has 3 exons. Lineage: Eukaryota; Metazoa; Chordata; Mammalia; Artiodactyla; Physeteridae.
UUUAUGGACCAGCAUGGGAUCUAUCUUGACAAGGCCCUGGGAAUGCAGCUGACAGGGGACCAGAGGAAAUGUGCAGAGCACCGAUUUUGGCCAUGGAGAGCACAGGGUCUCCUUCUCCAGGGCCGUGUGCUGGUCAAGAGGCCUGCCCAGGG